AACGAACGCUGGCGGCGCGCUUAACACAUGCAAGUCGAACGAGAAGGCGUAGCAAUACGCUGGUACAGUGGCGAACGGGUGAGGAAUACAUGGGUAACCUACCCUCGAGUGGGGGAUAACCCGCCGAAAGGCGGGCUAAUACCGCGUACGCUUCCGAUCUUGCGGGAUCGGAAGGAAAGCUGUCCCAAGGGGAUGGCGCUCAAGGAUGGGCUCAUGUCCUAUCAGCUUGUUGGUAGGGUAACGGCCUACCAAGGCAUCGACGGGUAGCUGGUCUGAGAGGACGAUCAGCCACACUGGCACUGCGACGACGGGCCAGACUCCGUACGGGAGGCAGCAGUGAGGAAUA
RNAcentral lists this ribosomal RNA (346 nucleotides) under uncultured bacterium. Its description in RNAcentral is "bacterial SSU rRNA". It matches the Rfam family "Bacterial small subunit ribosomal RNA", at positions 29 to 363 of the family's 1533-position model. The record is from RNAcentral.